UGUAUUUUUUUUUAAGAAAAAAAUAAGGGUAUUUUUUGAAGGUUUGAAAGUGAUCAAGGAUGUUAUACAUAAAUAUAGGAAAAACUUCAAAAAUCUUCCUGUGAUUUUGUACUUUUUUAUUUUAGUACCAUAUGGUUUAAAGUGUAUCAAGUUAGUAACCUGUGAUUUCGCACUUUCUCACUUUAGUAUCCUGUGGUUUAAAGUGCAUCAAAUUAGUACUCUAUGUUUUUAUUUUGUAUCAAGUUAGUAUUCUGUGGUUUUUAAAUCACAUGGUACUAAAGUGAGAAAGUGCGAAACCACAUGAUACUAACUUGAUACACUUUAAACCACAAGGUACUAAAAUAAAAAAGUGUAAAAUCACACAGUACUAACUUGAUACACUUUAAACCACGUGGUACUAAAGUGAGAAAGAGUGAAACCACAUGGGGGGAGUUUUUGAAGUUUUUUCAUAAAUAUAUGUAUAUAUAUAUAUGUAGAGAGAGAGAUAAUAAAAUGAAAUAAAGAGGGAAACGAUGUGACCUCCUCUCACAGUUGUAUUCCUCUGGAAGUUAGGUGAAGCACGUAGAUGUAGAUUUCAAAUCCUUCUAGAAGGAUAACGAACACCGGCUAAUUUUUGAUCACAUUAUACAACUAUACAAAGCGUGUCUUAAUUAUCCCACAUUAUCCAUCUCUAUAUAAGAAUAGGAGUCAAUUCCCCAUAAUCAAUUCUUAUACAUUCAUAUGUUAUACAUCCUUCGAAGCAAAUGGAAUGAGCAUUUAUU
RNAcentral lists this long non-coding RNA (761 nucleotides) under Ananas comosus (pineapple). RNAcentral describes it as "long non-coding RNA (ACOM_LNC007981)". Lineage: Eukaryota; Viridiplantae; Streptophyta; Magnoliopsida; Poales; Bromeliaceae. The record is from RNAcentral.